RNAcentral lists this ribosomal RNA (468 nucleotides) under uncultured bacterium. RNAcentral's name for it is "partial 16S ribosomal RNA". It matches the Rfam family "Bacterial small subunit ribosomal RNA", at positions 28 to 507 of the family's 1533-position model. The record is from RNAcentral.
GACGAACGCUGGCGGCGUGCUUAACACAUGCAAGUCGAACGGAAAGGCCCUGCUUUUGUGGGGUGCUCGAGUGGCGAACGGGUGAGUAACACGUGAGUAACCUGCCCUUGACUUUGGGAUAACUUCAGGAAACUGGGGCUAAUACCGGAUAGGAGCUCCUGCUGCAUGGUGGGAGUUGGAAAGUUUCGGCGGUUGGGGAUGGACUCGCGGCUUAUCAGCUUGUUGGUGGGGUAGUGGCUUACCAAGGCUUUGACGGGUAGCCGGCCUGAGAGGGUGACCGGCCACAUUGGGCCUGAGAUACGGCCCAGACUCCUACGGGAGGCAGCAGUGGGGAAUAUUGCACAAUGGGCGGAAGCCUGAUGCAGCAACGCCGCGUGCGGGAUGACGGCCUUCGGGUUGUAAACCGCUUUCGCCUGUGACGAAGCGUGAGUGACGGUAAUGGGUAAAGAAGCACCGGCUAACUACGUG